Molecule: ribosomal RNA, 434 nt
Filed under: uncultured Roseburia sp.
Lineage: Bacteria; Bacillati; Bacillota; Clostridia; Lachnospirales; Lachnospiraceae
Description: partial 16S ribosomal RNA
Rfam family: Bacterial small subunit ribosomal RNA
Source: RNAcentral
ACGGGAGGCAGCAGUGGGGGAUAUUGCACAAUGGGGGAAACCCUGAUGCAGCGACGCCGCGUGAGUGAUGAAGUAUUUCGGUAUGUAAAGCUCUAUCAGCAGGGAAGAAAAUGACGGUACCUGACUAAGAAGCACCGGCUAAAUACGUGCCAGCAGCCGCGGUAAUACGUAUGGUGCAAGCGUUAUCCGGAUUUACUGGGUGUAAAGGGAGCGUAGACGGAUGGCUAAGUCUGAUGUGAAAGGUGAGGGCUCAACCCUUAAACUGCAUUGGAAACUGGUCAUCUAGAGUGUCGGAGAGGUAAGUGGAAUUCCUAGUGUAGCGGUGAAAUGCGUAGAUAUUAGGAGGAACAUCAGUGGCGAAGGCGGCUUACUGGGCUUUAACUGACGCUGAGGCUCGAAAGCGUGGGGAGCAAACAGGAUUAGAUACCCUGGUA